GGUGAAACACCAAAUGUUAAGUGGUCAAGCUAAUAAGAGCUAAUGGUGGAUACCUAGGCACACAGAG
Molecule: ribosomal RNA, 67 nt
Filed under: Johanseniella sp. HA4236-MV2
Lineage: Bacteria; Bacillati; Cyanobacteriota; Cyanophyceae; Nostocales; Nostocaceae
Description: partial 23S ribosomal RNA
Source: RNAcentral